AGCAAAUCCAAUAUAUAAACAGCAGUUCAAUUUACACAGAAAUCAUAAAAUUUUACAUUUAAACAAUAAGCUAUAAAUUUACACAUUUAACUUGUCGAUCUAAAUAAGGAAGCUAAAUCAUUCAGAUAUAUAAGUUUCUUGAAUGAAAGGUUUGUUAAAAAUCAUCAUCCUGAUCAUCUGAGGAUUUAACUUCACUUGUUUUUGCCUCUAAAUCAUCGAGAUAAUGUUGAUAUAUAUAUGAUGCAUAUCCCCAUAAUCCCAAUAACAAUGAAAACACCUUCAAUCCAUUC
This 290-nucleotide unclassified non-coding RNA is filed under the name Hevea brasiliensis (rubber tree). The record is from RNAcentral. Lineage: Eukaryota; Viridiplantae; Streptophyta; Magnoliopsida; Malpighiales; Euphorbiaceae.